RNAcentral lists this transfer RNA (65 nucleotides) under Lepetodrilus nux. RNAcentral's name for it is "tRNA-Tyr". The record is from RNAcentral. Lineage: Eukaryota; Metazoa; Mollusca; Gastropoda; Lepetellida; Lepetodrilidae.
UUUAGGAUGGCUGAGAGUAAGCGGAAGACUGUAGAUCUUUUUACGGAGGCGUACUCCUCCUAUAA